CAGUCGCCGCGGUAAUACGAAGGGUGCAAGCGUUAAUCGGAAUUACUGGGCGUAAAGCGUGCGUAGGCGGUGAGUUAAGUCUGCUGUGAAAUCCCCGGGCUCAACCUGGGAAUGGCAGUGGAUACUGGCUCGCUAGAGUGUGUCAGAGGAUGAUGGAAUUCCCGGUGUAGCGGUGAAAUGCGUAGAGAUCGGGAGGAACAUCAGUGGCGAAGGCGGCCAUCUGGGACAACACUGACGCUGAGGCACGAAAGCGUGGGGAGCAAACAGGUUUAGAUACCCCAGUAGUCCCUGUCUCUUAUAC
RNAcentral lists this ribosomal RNA (301 nucleotides) under uncultured bacterium. RNAcentral's name for it is "partial 16S ribosomal RNA". It matches the Rfam family "Bacterial small subunit ribosomal RNA", at positions 509 to 807 of the family's 1533-position model. The record is from RNAcentral.